RNAcentral lists this transfer RNA (63 nucleotides) under Semanga superba. RNAcentral describes it as "tRNA-Val". The record is from RNAcentral. Lineage: Eukaryota; Metazoa; Arthropoda; Insecta; Lepidoptera; Lycaenidae.
UAAAUUAAUUAAAUCUAAUUUCUUUUCAAUGUAAAUGAAAUACUUUAUAUAAGCUAUAAUUUA